This 77-nucleotide transfer RNA is filed under the name Herbiconiux daphne. RNAcentral's name for it is "tRNA-Trp". It matches the Rfam family "tRNA". From Rfam's summary of the family: Transfer RNA (tRNA) molecules are approximately 80 nucleotides in length. Their secondary structure includes four short double-helical elements and three loops (D, anti-codon, and T loops). Further hydrogen bonds mediate the characteristic L-shaped molecular structure. tRNAs have two regions of fundamental functional importance: the anti-codon, which is responsible for specific mRNA codon recognition, and the 3' end, to which the tRNAs corresponding amino acid is attached (by aminoacyl-tRNA synthetases). tRNAs cope with the degeneracy of the genetic code in two manners: having more than one tRNA (with a specific anti-codon) for a particular amino acid; and 'wobble' base-pairing, i.e. permitting non-standard base-pairing at the 3rd anti-codon position. The record is from RNAcentral. RNAcentral also lists the same sequence under 1 other name. Lineage: Bacteria; Bacillati; Actinomycetota; Actinomycetes; Micrococcales; Microbacteriaceae.
AGGAACUUAGCUCAGUUUGGUAGAGCAGCGGAUUCCAAAUCCGUAGGUCUGGGGUUCGAGUCCUCAAGUUCCUGCCA